CCUACGGGUGGCAGCAGUGAGGAAUAUUGGUCAAUGGCCGAGAGGCUGAACCAGCCAAGUCGCGUGAGGGAAGACGGUCCUAUGGGUUGUAAACCUCUUUUGUCGGGGAGCAAAGCGAGUCACGUGUGACUCAUUGAGAGUACCCGAAGAAAAAGCAUCGGCUAACUCCGUGCCAGCAGCCGCGGUAAUACGGAGGAUGCGAGCGUUAUCCGGAUUUAUUGGGUUUAAAGGGUGCGCAGGCGGAGGUGCAAGUCAGCGGUAAAAUGGCGGGGCUCAACCCCGUACUGCCGUUGAAACUGCAGCCCUUGAGUGCGCGAGAAGUAUGCGGAAUGCGUGGUGUAGCGGUGAAAUGCAUAGAUAUCACGCAGAACUCCGAUUGCGAAGGCAGCAUACCGGCGCGCGACUGACGCUCAUGCACGAAAGCGUGGGUAUCGAACAGGAUUAGAUACCCGAGUAGUC
RNAcentral lists this ribosomal RNA (459 nucleotides) under uncultured bacterium. RNAcentral's name for it is "partial 16S ribosomal RNA". It matches the Rfam family "Bacterial small subunit ribosomal RNA", at positions 338 to 795 of the family's 1533-position model. The record is from RNAcentral.